GACGAACGCUGGCGGCGUGCUUAACACAUGCAAGUCGAACGGAAAGGCCCUGCUUUUGUGGGGUGCUCGAGUGGCGAACGGGUGAGUAACACGUGAGUAACCUGCCCUUGACUUUGGGAUAACUUCAGGAAACUGGGGCUAUUACCGGAUAGGAGCUCCUGCUGCAUGGGGGGGGUUGGAAAGUUUCGGCGGUUGGGGAUGGACUCGCGGCUUAUCAGCUUGUUGGUGGGGUAGUGGCUUACCAAGGCUUUGACGGGUAGCCGGCCUGAGAGGGUGAACGGCCACAUUGGGACUGAGAUACGGCCCAGACUGCUACGGGAGGCAGCAGUGGGGAAUAUUGCACAAUGGGCGGAAGCCUGAUGCAGCAACGCCGCGUGCGGGAUGACGGCCUUCGGGUUGUAAACCGCUUUCGCCUGUGACGAAGCGUGAGUGACGGUAAUGGGUAAAGAAGCACCGGCUAACUACGUG
This 468-nucleotide ribosomal RNA is filed under the name uncultured bacterium. Its description in RNAcentral is "partial 16S ribosomal RNA". It matches the Rfam family "Bacterial small subunit ribosomal RNA", at positions 28 to 507 of the family's 1533-position model. The record is from RNAcentral.